GAUGAACGCUGGCGGCGUGCUUAACACAUGCAAGUCGAGCGAAGCGCUUUGGCGGAUUUCUUCGGAUUGAAGCCUUGGUGACUGAGCGGCGGACGGGUGAGUAACGCGUGGGUAACCUGCCUCAUACAGGGGGAUAACAGUUGGAAACGACUGCUAAUACCGCAUAAGCGCACAGUACCGCAUGGUACGGUGUGAAAAACUCCGGUGGUAUGAGAUGGACCCGCGUCUGAUUAGGUAGUUGGUGGGGUAACGGCCUACCAAGCCGACGAUCAGUAGCCGACCUGAGAGGGUGACCGGCCACAUUGGGACUGAGACACGGCCCAAACUCCUACGGGAGGCAGCAGUGGGGAAUAUUGCACAAUGGGGGAAACCCUGAUGCAGCGACGCCGCGUGAGCGAUGAAGUAUUUCGGUAUGUAAAGCUCUAUCAGCAGGGAAGAAAAUGACGGUACCUGACUAAGAAGCACCGGCUAAAUACGUGCCAGCAGCCGCGGUAAUACGUAUGGUGCAAGCGUUAUCCGGAUUUACUGGGUGUAAAGGGAGCGUAGACGGUUGUGUAAGUCUGAUGUGAAAGCCCGGGGCUCAACCCCGGGACUGCAUUGGAAACUAUGUAACUAGAGUGUCGGAGAGGUAAGCGGAAUUCCUAGUGUAGCGGUGAAAUGCGUAGAUAUUAGGAGGAACACCAGUGGCGAAGGCGGCUUACUGGACGAUCACUGACGUUGAGGCUCGAAAGCGUGNGGAGCAAACAGG
This 748-nucleotide ribosomal RNA is filed under the name uncultured bacterium. RNAcentral describes it as "bacterial SSU rRNA". It matches the Rfam family "Bacterial small subunit ribosomal RNA", at positions 28 to 776 of the family's 1533-position model. The record is from RNAcentral.